Molecule: ribosomal RNA, 495 nt
Filed under: uncultured bacterium
Lineage: Bacteria
Description: partial 16S ribosomal RNA
Rfam family: Bacterial small subunit ribosomal RNA
Source: RNAcentral
UGAACGCUGGCGGCGUGCCUAAUACAUGCAAGUCGAGCGAACAGAUGCGGAGCUUGCUCCUCUGACGUUAGCGGCGGACGGGUGAGUAACACGUGGAUAACCUACCUAUAAGACUGGGAUAACUUCGGGAAACCGGAGCUAAUACCGGAUAAUAUAUUGAACCGCAUGGUUCAAUAGUGAAAGACGGUUUUGCUGUCACUUAUAGAUGGAUCCGCGCCGCAUUAGCUAGUUGGUAAGGUAACGGCUUACCAAGGCGACGAUGCGUAGCCGACCUGAGAGGGUGAUCGGCCACACUGGAACUGAGACACGGUCCAGACUCCUACGGGAGGCAGCAGUAGGGAAUCUUCCGCAAUGGGCGAAAGCCUGACGGAGCAACGCCGCGUGAGUGAUGAAGGUCUUCGGAUCGUAAAACUCUGUUAUUAGGGAAGAACAAAUGUGUAAGUAACUAUGCACGUCUUGACGGUACCUAAUCAGAAAGCCACGGCUAACUACGUG